This 24-nucleotide non-coding RNA is filed under the name Arabidopsis thaliana (thale cress). The record is from RNAcentral. Lineage: Eukaryota; Viridiplantae; Streptophyta; Magnoliopsida; Brassicales; Brassicaceae.
GAAAGAUGUUUGAGGAGCUAUCCU